AUUUUGACCAUCACAUUUCCAAGAUGCUGGUAUGCAGACUCCAUUACCACAGCUAAAGUGAUUUUCUUGACAUUUUCUGUUUUCUAAAAGACAUGACUUGAACACGACUUGCGCCACAGUACCUCUGGAAUUGGCAAACAUGAUGGCCUUGUGCGACCAUAAAAAGUGAAAUACAGGUCAGCUAUACCACAUCGCAGUCUGGCGUCAUUGGAUGUCCCGGAGCUAAAAAUGAGACACAAAAACAACGUGUAGCUCUGUCUUUACCUUCAUGAGGCGUUCCACCAGCAUCUCAGUUCCCAUACUGCUCUUGUUGUCCUGCUUAGUGAAUGGAGGGUUGGUCAGCAGCAGCUUCAACACACCAUGCCUGAAAGCAAUGCUCAAGUUUUAAAGAACUAGAAAUAAAAUUCUUAAUUUGACAUCCAUAUUUUUUAGCAAUUUUACAAAGUAGGAGUGUUGAUUGUUCACAAUUUCUCAUCUUUCUCACUUAAUUAUGUUUUUUUAGUAUUAUCUAAAUUACCAGUCUUUUUAAUCUUGUUGUCUUGUAGAGUGCAUGCACUGCAAAGUUUGAAAUUGUUUUGUAAUUUAUUUUGAGAUUUUUAUGGAACGUGCCAUAUAAGGAUUUAUAAUUCUUACUUUCAUGAAAAUAAUUCUACAGGAGUAUCAGAAACUUCUCUCAAAGUUAUAAAUGAUUCUGAAAUGUUUUAUAAUGA
Lingula anatina is the source of this 710-nucleotide long non-coding RNA. RefSeq lists it as uncharacterized. Lineage: Eukaryota; Metazoa; Brachiopoda; Lingulata; Lingulida; Lingulidae. The record is from RefSeq and is a predicted model, not a curated record.